Molecule: ribosomal RNA, 301 nt
Filed under: uncultured bacterium
Lineage: Bacteria
Description: partial 16S ribosomal RNA
Rfam family: Bacterial small subunit ribosomal RNA
Source: RNAcentral
CAGUAGCCGCGGGAAGACAGAGGUCCCGAGCGUUGUUCGGAUUCAUUGGGCGUAAAGGGUGUGUAGGAGGUCGGGUAAGUCAGGUGUGAAAUCUCACAGCUUAACUGUGAAACUGCGCUUGAUACUGCCCGGCUAGAGGAUCGGAGGGGGUAACGGAAUUCAUUGUGUAGCAGUGAAAUGCGUAGAUAUCAUGAGGAACACCGGUGGCGAAGGCGGUUACCUGGAAGAUUCCUGACUCUGAAACACGAAAGCCAGGGGAGCAAACGGGAUUAGAUACCCGCGUAGUCCCUGUCUCUUAUAC